CCCACACCCCAACAACCCCACUGCCUCUGGCAGCCAGGUGCCAGUACCAGGAAAUCAUAAAGGCCAUUGUUCUGAGACCCAGAAGAUAAAGCCAAAGUGAACAACAGAAACAGGGUCACUCUGAGGCUCCUUGAUGAAAACUGAAGCCCACUGGAAAAGUAGGGAAAAAUUCUCCUCAAUAAAGGCACACCAGACCAUCAUAGUUGAUUGCUGAAGAGUCAUUAGAGAAUGAAAACCUAAAGACCAGCUAUAUCUGGAAGACACCUCUGAGAAGCAAUCAUUCAAUAAGGGUUCUAAAUACAAGCAAUAAAGAUAAUUAUAAUAAGCAAUAUUGAAGGACAGAC
RNAcentral lists this long non-coding RNA (344 nucleotides) under Fukomys damarensis (Damara mole-rat). RNAcentral describes it as "lncRNA (ENSFDAG00000025601.1)". The record is from RNAcentral. Lineage: Eukaryota; Metazoa; Chordata; Mammalia; Rodentia; Bathyergidae.